Molecule: ribosomal RNA, 450 nt
Filed under: uncultured Ambispora
Lineage: Eukaryota; Fungi; Glomeromycota; Glomeromycetes; Archaeosporales; Ambisporaceae
Description: SSU rRNA
Rfam family: Eukaryotic small subunit ribosomal RNA
Source: RNAcentral
AGCAGCCGCGGUAAUUCCAGCUCCAAUAGCGUAUAUUAAAGUUGUUGCAGUUAAAAAGCUCGUAGUUGAAUUUUGGGUCUGGCCGGGCGGUCCGCCCUCUGGGUGAGCACUGUUCCGACGUCGGGCCUAUCCUUCUGGUGAAUCGGCAUGUCCUUUAUUGGGUGUGUCGGGGAACCAGGACCAUUACCUUGAAAAAUUAGAGUGUUCAAAGCAGGCGUAUGCUCGGAUACAUUAGCAUGGAAUAAUGAAAUAGGACGCGUGGUGCUAUUUUGUUGGUUUCUAGAACCGCCGUAAUGAUUAAUAGGGAUAGUUGGGGGCAUUAGUAUUCAAUUGUCAGAGGUGAAAUUCUUGGAUUUAUUGAAGACUAACUUCUGCGAAAGCAUUUGCCAAGGAUGUUUUCAUUAAUCAAGAACGAAAGUUAGGGGAUCGAAGACGAUCAGAUACCGUCGU